Molecule: ribosomal RNA, 1343 nt
Filed under: uncultured bacterium
Lineage: Bacteria
Description: 16S ribosomal RNA
Rfam family: Bacterial small subunit ribosomal RNA
Source: RNAcentral
GACGAACGCUGGCGGCGUGCUUAACACAUGCAAGUCGAACGGAAAGGCCCUGCUUUUGUGGGGUGCUCGAGUGGCGAACGGGUGAGUAACACGUGAGUAACCUGCCCUUGACUUUGGGAUAACUUCAGGAAACUGGGGCUAAUACCGGAUAGGAGCUCCUGCUGCAUGGUGGGGGUUGGAAAGUUUCGGCGGUUGGGGAUGGACUCGCGGCUUAUCAGCUUGUUGGUGGGGUAGUGGCUUACCAAGGCUUUGACGGGUAGCCGGCCUGAGAGGGUGACCGGCCACAUUGGGACUGAGAUACGGCCCAGACUCCUACGGGAGGCAGCAGUGGGGAAUAUUGCACAAUGGGCGGAAGCCUGAUGCAGCAACGCCGCGUGCGGGAUGACGGCCUUCGGGUUGUAAACCGCUUUCGCCUGUGACGAAGCGUGAGUGACGGUAAUGGGUAAAGAAGCACCGGCUAACUACGUGCCAGCAGCCGCGGUGAUACGUAGGGUGCGAGCGUUGUCCGGAUUUAUUGGGCGUAAAGGGCUCGUAGGUGGUUGAUCGCGUCGGAAGUGUAAUCUUGGGGCUUAACCCUGAGCGUGCUUUCGAUACGGGUUGACUUGAGGAAGGUAGGGGAGAAUGGAAUUCCUGGUGGAGCGGUGGAAUGCGCAGAUAUCAGGAGGAACACCAGUGGCGAAGGCGGUUCUCUGGGCCUUUCCUGACGCUGAGGAGCGAAAGCGUGGGGAGCGAACAGGCUUAGAUACCCUGGUAGUCCACGCUGUAAACGGUGGGUACUAGGUGUGGGGUCCAUUCCACGGGUUCCGUGCCGUAGCUAACGCUUUAAGUACCCCGCCUGGGGAGUACGGCCGCAAGGCUAAAACUCAAAGGAAUUGACGGGGCCCCGCACAAGCGGCGGAGCAUGCGGAUUAAUUCGAUGCAACGCGUAGAACCUUACCUGGGUUUGACAUGGAUCGGGAGCGCUCAGAGAUGGGUGUGCCUCUUUUGGGGUCGGUUCACAGGUGGUGCAUGGCUGUCGUCAGCUCGUGUCGUGAGAUGUUGGGUUAAGUCCCGCAACGAGCGCAACCCUUGUUCACUGUUGCCAGCACGUUAUGGUGGGGACUCAGUGGAGACCGCCGGGGUCAACUCGGAGGAAGGUGGGGAUGACGUCAAGUCAUCAUGCCCCUUAUGUCCAGGGCUUCACGCAUGCUACAAUGGCUGGUACAGAGAGUGGCGAGCCUGUGAGGGUGAGCGAAUCUCGGAAAGCCGGUCUCAGUUCGGAUUGGGGUCUGCAACUCGACCUCAUGAAGUCGGAAUCGCUAGUAAUCGCAGAUCAGCAACGCUGCGGUGAAUACGUUCCCGGG